CAGCAGCCGCGGUAACACGAAGGGGGCUAGCGUUGCUCGGAAUUACUGGGCGUAAAGGGAGCGUAGGCGGACAUUUAAGUCAGGGGUGAAAUCCCAGAGCUCAACUCUGGAACCGCCUUUGAUACUGGGUGUCUUGAGUGUGAUAGAGGUAUGUGGAACUCCGAGUGUAGAGGUGAAAUUCGUAGAUAAUUGGAAGAACACCAGUGGCGAAGGCGACAUACUGGAUCAUUACUGACGCUGAGGCUCGAAAGCGUGGGGAGCAAACAGGAUUAGAGACCCCCGUAGUCCCUGUCUCUUUACC
This 301-nucleotide ribosomal RNA is filed under the name uncultured bacterium. RNAcentral describes it as "partial 16S ribosomal RNA". It matches the Rfam family "Bacterial small subunit ribosomal RNA", at positions 509 to 808 of the family's 1533-position model. The record is from RNAcentral.